UACGUAGGGAGCAAGCGUUAUCCGGAUUUACUGGGUGUAAAGGGCGCGUAGGCGGGAUGGCAAGUCAGAUGUGAAAUCCAGGGGCUCAACCCCUGAACUGCAUUUGAAACUGUCGUUCUUGAGUACUGGAGAGGUUGACGGAAUUCCUAGUGUAGCGGUGAAAUGCGUAGAUAUUAGGAGGAACACCAGUGGCGAAGGCGGUCAACUGGAUAGCAACUGACGCUGAGGCGCGAAAGCGUGGGGAGCAAACAGG
Molecule: ribosomal RNA, 253 nt
Filed under: uncultured bacterium
Lineage: Bacteria
Description: partial 16S ribosomal RNA
Rfam family: Bacterial small subunit ribosomal RNA
Source: RNAcentral